UACGGAGGAUGCAAGCGUUAUCCGGAUUCAUUGGGUUUAAAGGGUGCGUAGGCGGGCUAUUAAGUCAGUGGUGAAAUCCUGCAGCUUAACUGCAGAACUGCUGUUGAUACUGAUAGUCUUGAGUUUGGUUAAGGUAGGCGGAAUGUGUAAUGUAGCGGUGAAAUGCUUAGAUAUUACACAGAACACCAAUUGCGUAGGCAGCUUACUGAGCCGACACUGACGCUGAGGCACGAAAGCGUGGGGAUCAAACAGGA
This 254-nucleotide ribosomal RNA is filed under the name uncultured prokaryote. RNAcentral's name for it is "partial 16S ribosomal RNA". It matches the Rfam family "Bacterial small subunit ribosomal RNA", at positions 524 to 777 of the family's 1533-position model. The record is from RNAcentral.